Triticum urartu is the source of this 3062-nucleotide non-coding RNA. The record is from RefSeq and is a predicted model, not a curated record. Lineage: Eukaryota; Viridiplantae; Streptophyta; Magnoliopsida; Poales; Poaceae.
GGCGGCAAACUGAUAAGUUAGCAUCCUAGCUCCCACAUUUUGGCUAUAAAUAGCACGAAACAUAAGCCGCAAUGCGUCACCAAUGUUCAGUAGGAAGAAGAAGCCUGGGAGAAGAUGGGUCUUGCAUGAGGGCCAGAGCCUGCCUGGUCUGGUAGCCAAGGAUGACUUGCCUAUAUGCUCUUUCAGAAGCCCCGGUUAUUACAUGGCUGGUUUCGGAUGAGUUCCAUGAUAGGCGGUCACCUUGGCUAGCCUGAGCAGCUCUUGUCUGUCAUGGAAGGCCUCUCCUUCUCAUUCUCGGCCAUUCUAUCUCAGGGUCUUAGGACUGUUUGAAUUUCAGCUGACAGGUAAUAUGAUUCAAUGGCUAUUCAUGAAUAUAUAUGGCCUGUAGUUAUUUGUUUCCAGUGCUCCAAUGCAUCUGCCCCUGCUAUCUACGGUGUCCUAGAGAAUUGUUGAUGUCCUAGAGAACAGUAAUUGCCAUUUUUCUGCUCUCACAGCUAGCCAAAUCAUCACAAUUAUCAUAGCCGUUGGAUAAGCUAGCUCAAUCCACAAUACCCGUGCGAUCAAGAUGUUGAGAGCCUCUCCACUAAACAGCAUGCAGUACCCUACGCUUACAAUUUAAGUGGGUUUUUAAUACUAUCAUCACCUCCUAUUAAGUUCAGACUCAUGUAUGGUUCGCCCUCUCAUCACAUGGCAAAGCAACGUAGGCCAGACCAUGCAAGGGGAUAGUACGUUUUAUUUUUAUUAAACCUUCAAUUACUCUGAGCAUGUAGACCAAUAUAGGUCACCAUGCGUCAUGUCAGCACUUCCUGUUUUGGUUUUUUUUUCUUCUGAAAAGGAGGAUGACCCCGGCCAAGACCCUGCUGCACCACGCUGCCGAGACUCCACAUCAUCGAUGCGUGACAUGGGACGCCGCUCCACCAUUAAAACCGUCCGCUGGUCCCUCGAGCCAAUGCACACCUUCAAAAAUGACGCCCCAAAAAGAGAACGACACAAGAGCGCCGUCAUUAUCAGAUCGACUGAUCAAGGGUUUCUUUCGGAGGUAGCGAGAGGAGUUGGGAGCUUCACCUCGAUGAUGCCUUCAUGAAGGAAGCAACGCCAAAGGCGUCACCAUCACCGGCUCCGGCCAUCGGCCGAAGACCAGAUGUUCAUCCAGAUCUGUCCCAAGAACAUCCAAGCGUACUGGUCGGGACGCGCGAAGGCAAGAGUCCGGAUAGGCAAAGCCAAGGUGUGCACGCGCAUUAGUCUGGCUAGCGCAAACGUACAAGCAUAGUCGAGGGCAUGCGACCCUGACAGGGUGACCCGGCCUCUCCUCGCGCAGCGCACCGUAUGGAGCGGCACACGCGGGCGCGAUCAAAAUCACCACAUAACGGUGACCCCGGCGCGCCCACGGUCCACCCAUUAUAGACCCCCUAGGUAGGCCGGGCGUUGUUCGAGCAGAUCAGACCGUGCGGAGAGCCCCAGGAAGGCAGCUGCAGGAGUCCAGCACAAAACGGACGGCGCAGAGAGCCUCCUUGCCGAGCAGGUCUCUAGCACUGGUCGGCUGGUGUGAGUGUGACACACGCCCCGCUUGUCGCGAGCAAACCAGUCCGACGCAGGCUGAAGACUCCGACAGACAGGUCCGCCUUUCCCAUCGCGCGCGGGGCAACAUGCGUAACCUAGCACGAUGGCCUAGGUUGCGUCCACGGUCCAUCUAUCAUGAACCCCUGAGGCGACCCGUCUGGAUCCGCGCCGUCCGGGCAGAUCGAUCGGCACGAAAAGCCCAGAGAGGCGCCCGCGGCACGCCACCACACAACGGACGGCGUGUAGGCCCUCCUCGUCCUUGGAGGCUCCCACUAAUUUGUACGGAUUGGAGCUAGGCAUCAAUAAAUUGAGUUUCGGUGACACAGGAUAGGCACAACCGCAUAAGACCACCAUGGCAUGAAUGAAAACAAAAAACGAACGGUGCUGCUAGCUGAAGUCAUCGCCCGGAACAAACCUGAGAGCAACCGAGGAUAGCCUCUUUUUCUUGUAUUCCUCCCGAAGCUUGCAACUCAAAACAGACACCGCUGAGAAACGGAGAGAACGCAGACUGCAGCAUGCAAGGCUCAAGGAAUGCGUACUCAUCCCAAGGCAAGAAAGAUUCAUCCUUCUCGAAUCAUUACCAAUCGGUGGUUCUUUGGUAAUUGCGUUCCAGCACACGUCCUUUUUCCUCAUGAAGAUUCUUGCUGUUGUCCUACUUCGGUUCUUGCAAAGAGCCUCACAUGUGGUGUGAUUUUCUGCUUGAUCAUUGUUUCUGAAUGCUUAGUUGGAGUUUAAAUCCAAAUAAACAUUCUCUGAAGUUGGUACGGUUUGUAUUUUUUGAAGGCAAAAAACUGAAGUUGAUAGAUUUACGCCCUGUAUUCUUUUUCGUGGAAACCUGUUUCAGUGCACAACUUGUUCCCAUACCCUGAAGCAAGCGUGUACCCGCCACCGAGCUCACAUGGCUACCAGACCCACCUUGGCGAAGAGAACCCUUCCUAUAACUGGGCAGGGCAACCGGCUCCAUCUGAUCGUGGACCUCACUUGUACAGCUACCAAGAUGAUCCUGACUGCCUCACCUUCCUGAGAGGAUGGUAUGAUGCUUUUUCUGAGCUCAUUUCUCUACAUAGCAUGCAUAGUUGGGACAUGCAGUUUGUUACUCCCUCCGUUCUAAAUUACUCGUCGCAGAAAUGGAUGUAUCUAAAACUAAAAUACAUCUAGAUACAUCCAUACUUACGACAAGUAAUUCAGAACGGAGGGAGUAGUAUAUAUGGGCUUUGUUAGGCCCUGCUACUGGCUGUGCUACUGCUAACCGGUACCCCGUGAUGGCUACAUGCUUGGCUGGGCUGUGCUGCUGCUGCUUGUUGGAGCAGUGUUGCUACUACUGACUGCUACUACGAUUACCUGCUGAGACGUGUGUCUAGCCUUCUCCCCUUGGGUGAUUCCCGGGUACUCAAGUUGAACAACUUUGCUUGUGCCUGACUAUGGUCUCAUCUGUACUCCUGUGUAACUCUAGACAUGAGUGAAAUAAUGAGGCUGCCAGCCGGUUCUUUCUUUGCAAGUUC